UCUUCCAACUUCCCGUUAACACGCCGCAUCAAAGAAGUUGUUAACGAGGUCUGUCAAAUCCUCCAUACCCAACAACAAUGGGAAGACGCUGUCGAAAUCCGUCUUUCACAGGAAGAAAUUGUCCCUCCUGACAUUGCACACCUUGUGUUUGACAAACUUAAGGAUGCUCAUGUGGGUCUCAAGUUCUUUGAUUGGGUAUCUCAAAGACCCG
Molecule: unclassified non-coding RNA, 211 nt
Filed under: Hevea brasiliensis (rubber tree)
Lineage: Eukaryota; Viridiplantae; Streptophyta; Magnoliopsida; Malpighiales; Euphorbiaceae
Source: RNAcentral